CCUAGAGUUUGUGGACUUCGGUCUGCUACCUCUUACCCAUGUCUUUUGAGUACCUUCGUUUCCUCGGCGGGUCCGCCCGCCGGUUGGACAACAUUCAAACCCUCUGCAGUUGCAAUCAGCGUCUGAAAAAACUUAAUAGUUA
Molecule: unclassified non-coding RNA, 142 nt
Filed under: soil metagenome
Description: partial internal transcribed spacer 1
Source: RNAcentral